GACGUAGGAGGCGAGCGUUGUCCGGAGUUACUGGGCGUAAAGCGCGCGCAGGCGGUCACGCAGGUCAUCUGUGAAAGCACUCGGCUCAACCUGGAGUCGCCAUCCGAUACUGCUAUGACUUGAGUCUGGUAGGGGAUCACGGAAUUCCUGGUGUAGCGGUGAAAUGCAUAGAUAUCAGGAGGAACACCGGUGGCGAAGGCGGUGAUCUGGGCCAGUACUGACGCUGAGGAGCGAAAGCGUGGGGAGCGAACAGG
RNAcentral lists this ribosomal RNA (254 nucleotides) under uncultured bacterium. RNAcentral's name for it is "partial 16S ribosomal RNA". It matches the Rfam family "Bacterial small subunit ribosomal RNA", at positions 524 to 776 of the family's 1533-position model. The record is from RNAcentral.